GAAGGUUUAAAUACCUCCCUGCUAAGGAGGUUAAGAGGAUAGUAUCCUCAGCUUUCU
RNAcentral lists this transfer RNA (57 nucleotides) under Capsala pricei. RNAcentral's name for it is "tRNA-Ser". The record is from RNAcentral. Lineage: Eukaryota; Metazoa; Platyhelminthes; Monogenea; Capsalidea; Capsalidae.